RNAcentral lists this ribosomal RNA (497 nucleotides) under uncultured bacterium. RNAcentral's name for it is "partial 16S ribosomal RNA". It matches the Rfam family "Bacterial small subunit ribosomal RNA", at positions 28 to 507 of the family's 1533-position model. The record is from RNAcentral.
GAUGAACGCUGGCGGCGUGCCUAAUACAUGCAAGUCGAGCGAACGGACGAGAAGCUUGCGUCUCUGAUGUUAGCGGCGGACGGGUGAGUAACACGUGGAUAACCUACCUAUAAGACUGGGAUAACUUCGGGAAACCGGAGCUAAUACCGGAUGAUAUUUUGCACCGCAUGGUUCAAAAGUGAAAGACGGUCUUGCUGUCACUUCUAGAUGGAUCCGCGCUGCAUUAGCUAGUUGGUAAGGUAACGGCUUACCAAGGCAACGAUGCAUAGCCGACCUGAGAGGGUGAUCGGCCACACUGGAACGUAGACACGGUCCAGGCUCCUACGGGAGGCAGCAGUAGGGAAUCGGCCGCAAUAGGCGAAAACCUGACGGAGCAACGCCGCGUGAGUGAUGAAGGUCUUCGGAUCGUAAAACUCUGUUAUUAGGGAAAAACAUAUGUGUAAGUAACUGUGCACAUCGUGACGGUACCUAGUCAGAAAGCCACGGCUAACUACGUG